AACGGCACCAUGAGGUACCGUUUCUGUCGGGGUGGUGGCACUCGAUCACGAACAACUUUUUAAUUAAAUUUCAUAUUUGGUGCAAAUUAAAUGACGAUGAUGAUUUUAUAAAUCACGUCUGGUGUACUUUACUCCCACGUAAAAAUGAUAUGAUAUCUCAUCUAUGUUUUGGAUAUAUAUAUAUAUGCCCUAUGACAUGCACUUUUCAUUAAUUAAUACGACAAAUCGUUUAAGGUGCAUUUAUAAAUAACAUGUCAUACACUAAUGUCAAAAUUUUAUUUUUUUAAUUUUUUCUCGAUUCUAAAUUUCUAACUUGUUACAUAUACAACAAACCCGUGAGUUGUCAUCGAUGACAACUCAAUUGUAGAUGUAACAUAGCAUGGCCCUUCUAACUUAAUAUAUAAUAGCAAAAUAUUCAUUGGUUUAGCAAUAGAGAUACGCACACACCACUUAGCACAACAUAUAGCAUCGAACAAUGAGUUUUGAGGCAAGUAUAAAAGGUUACAGUAUAUGUAGAUAGUUUGAGUCUGUCAGGAUUGAGCAUACUCCCAGAACUUAUAAUUUAGAAGUUCAUUGUCUGGCGAAAUUUGCCAUAGACUUUAAAGAGCCAGCGGUAUGGGCCAAUGAAUUUCCUCAGGCUGUUUUGGAUGUAUUCACAAAGCUUAAGCAAUGAAAGUCUUACUUUCUUUUUCAAAAAAAUAAAAAAUAAAAGGUUACAGUGACUCGUCAAUUGCAACACUCUCAACCACAACACAUGCUCUCUCAUUUUCUCCCUCACACUCUUCCUCACCAAGCCACUAAUCUCAUUACGCUCCGUUCUUUCUCACCAUUCUCAUCGUCGGCUCCCUCUCUCUCUCCCCUGUCGACUGUAUCUCUCAUGCCACCUCACUCUCUCGGUUGUCUCAAAAAGAAAGACCAAAUGCUAAUGAUGUCAUCUCUAGUUCAGAAAAACAUAUCCCAAAAAGAAUUAUAAGUGCGUUUGAAAUUAAAGUUGAACAGUUGUAACUUAAAAGUUAAAAGUUACACCACUAAAGUAUUUGAUAAACACUAACUGCUAUAACUUGAAAACUAUGUUGAUAUGAUUUUUUACUUGCAUCGUUCGAUGCUACGUGUUGUGCUUAAUGUUGUGUGAGUUUCAUUUUCCUUAGUUUAGUGGUAGAAAAAAAGAUCAUCUCCUGAUCUGAUCUCUCAUGAACUUUUAAAGAUCUUAUGCCAUGUAUUUUUAAGUGAUAGUGUAUGGAUAUGAUUUAACUUCUUUAUUUUAUUAAUUACCAAUCACCACAUGUAUAUUUGCUCAGGAGAAGAUCGGAUCAGGAGAGAAUCCUGAUCCUAGUGGUAGUGGUAAACUCUUCUCCUCAUGACAAAUUUCUCUCCCUCUAAAUGACUGAAUAAAAAAUCAGCAUUAAAAAUGUAAGAAAGACUUGGAUAAAAUAAAAUAGUUUUAAUCUAAUCAUCUUUUAAAACUAAUGGCGCAUUUAUUAAUCAAUAAUUAGAAUAGGUUGAAAUCUUAAUGAGUUUUAAUAAAAAUGGAGAAUGAAAAUCAGAAUAAAUUACUUAGAUAUAAGAAUAUGAAUCUGAAUGAGUUGAAUUAUUGUAA
RNAcentral lists this long non-coding RNA (1597 nucleotides) under Citrus x clementina. RNAcentral's name for it is "Citrus clementina (C. clementina) long non-coding RNA (CCLE_LNC003122)". Lineage: Eukaryota; Viridiplantae; Streptophyta; Magnoliopsida; Sapindales; Rutaceae. The record is from RNAcentral.